Molecule: ribosomal RNA, 479 nt
Filed under: uncultured bacterium
Lineage: Bacteria
Description: partial 16S ribosomal RNA
Rfam family: Bacterial small subunit ribosomal RNA
Source: RNAcentral
GACGAACGCUGGCGGCGUGCUUAACACAUGCAAGUCGAGCGAUGAAGCACCUUCGGGUGUGAAUUAGCGGCGAACGGGUGAGGAACACGUGAGAAAUCUGCCUUCAACUCUGGGAUAACUCCGUGAAAACGGGGCUAAUACCGGAUAUGAAACCCGCGGGCAUCCGCGGGUUUGGAAAGGUUUUCGGUUGAGGAUGAUCUCGCGGCCUAUCAGCUUGUUGGUGAGGUAAUGGCUCACCCAGGCGACGGCGGGUAGCCGGGCUGCGAGGGCGAACGGCCACACUGGGACUGAGACACGGCCCAGACUCCUACGGGAGGCAGCAGUGGGGAAUAUUGGGCAAUGGAGGAAACACUGACCCAGCGACACCGCGUGCGGGAUGAAGGCCUUCGGGUUGUAAACCGCUUUCAGCAGGGAAGAAGCGAAAGUGACGGUACCUGCAGAAGAAGCACCGGCUAACUAUGUGCCAGCCGCCGCGGUAA